AUAAUUAUUGUUUACUCAUCCAUAAAAGAGUUUGCGAUUAUGAUUAAUCUUCAAGCCUUCAAUAACGAUGUUAUUAAUUGUCUCCUUUUCUUUUUGCGGUCACAUAUUCGUGUGCUCGAAACCACACAACAGAAUAUAGCCGCAUUGCUGAUGGGUCUUGAAUAUCUAAUAAACAUCUCAUAUGUGGAUGGCACUAAAAAUUUUAAGGUAUGAUUAAUUAUGAUGAGCUCUCUAGCACCCACCCGAAGGCCCUAUUAGCUCUUUCUCUCUCUCUCUUCCCAUUUGAACAGAUGAAGUGAUAAUUUGACUUGGUCCUACAUCAAAUCAUCAAUGGCAGAAGCAACAAAGAGAUUUGCAGUUGUUACAGGUACAAACAAAGGGAUUGGAUUAGAAACUGUCAAGCAAUUGGCCUCCAAAGCAAGGCUAUUUGAAGGCCUUGGACUUUCAGGUGAACAAUGCAGGGAUUGGUGGAGUCAAACUAGAUGCUGAUGCUUUUAUAGCUACAGAAUAUUCUGGUGGUGGGGUAAGUCUUGCACUUUUCUUUUUUGUUCCACCACACACAUUAAGGUGAUGCACUUUGAGAAAGGAAGCUUCUAAUGUCGACCAUAUAUGCUUCUGUUUACUUCAUCUUGAUACUAUUAGCAUACCUUAUGGCUCCUAAAACCAUGUUUAGUUUGUCUU
Long non-coding RNA from Prunus avium (sweet cherry), 681 nucleotides. RefSeq lists it as uncharacterized. Lineage: Eukaryota; Viridiplantae; Streptophyta; Magnoliopsida; Rosales; Rosaceae. The record is from RefSeq and is a predicted model, not a curated record.